Molecule: transfer RNA, 73 nt
Filed under: Zhihengliuella salsuginis
Lineage: Bacteria; Bacillati; Actinomycetota; Actinomycetes; Micrococcales; Micrococcaceae
Description: tRNA-Gln
Rfam family: tRNA
About the family: Transfer RNA (tRNA) molecules are approximately 80 nucleotides in length. Their secondary structure includes four short double-helical elements and three loops (D, anti-codon, and T loops).
Source: RNAcentral
UCCGCCUUGGUGUAACGGCAGCACGCCGGCCUUUGGAGCCGUGCAGUCUAGGUUCGAAUCCUAGGGGCGGAAC